Molecule: ribosomal RNA, 253 nt
Filed under: uncultured bacterium
Lineage: Bacteria
Description: partial 16S ribosomal RNA
Rfam family: Bacterial small subunit ribosomal RNA
Source: RNAcentral
UACGUAGGCAUCAAGCGUUGUUCGGAAUUACUGGGCGUAAAGAGUGUGUAGGCGGUGCUCUAAGUCUGUUGUGAAAUCUCCCGGCUUAACCGGGAGGGUGCGGCGGAAACUGGAGUGCUUGAGGGUGGGAGAGGUAAGCGGAAUUCCUGGUGUAGCGGUGAAAUGCGUAGAUAUCAGGAGGAACACCGGUGGCGAAGGCGGGUCUCUGGGCCGAUACUGACGCUGAGGAGCGAAAGCGUGGGGAGCAAACAGG